RNAcentral lists this ribosomal RNA (305 nucleotides) under uncultured bacterium. RNAcentral describes it as "bacterial SSU rRNA". It matches the Rfam family "Bacterial small subunit ribosomal RNA", at positions 334 to 641 of the family's 1533-position model. The record is from RNAcentral.
UGGUCCUACGGGAGGCAGCAGUGGGGAAUAUUGCACAAUGGGGGAAACCCUGAUGCAGCGACGCCGCGUGAGUGAAGAAGUAUCUCGGUACGUAAAGCUCUAUCAGCAGGGAAGAAAAAAAGUCUUUGGCUUUGGACGGUACCUGACUAAGAAGCCCCGGCUAACUACGUGCCAGCAGCCGCGAUAAUACGUAGGUGGCAAGCGUUGUCCGGAUUUACUGGGUGUAAAGGGCGUGCAGCCGGGAGUGCAAGUCAGAUGUGAAAUCCCGCGGCUCAACCGCGGAACUGCAUUUGAAACUGUGCUUC